RNAcentral lists this ribosomal RNA (492 nucleotides) under uncultured bacterium. RNAcentral's name for it is "partial 16S ribosomal RNA". It matches the Rfam family "Bacterial small subunit ribosomal RNA", at positions 29 to 507 of the family's 1533-position model. The record is from RNAcentral.
AGUGAACGCUGGCGGUAGGCCUAACACAUGCAAGUCGAACGGCAGCACAGUAAGAGCUUGCUCUUACGGGUGGCGAGUGGCGGACGGGUGAGGAAUACAUCGGAAUCUACUUUUUCGUGGGGGAUAACGUAGGGAAACUUACGCUAAUACCGCAUACGACCUACGGGUGAAAGCAGGGGAUCUUCGGACCUUGCGCGAUUGAAUGAGCCGAUGUCGGAUUAGCUAGUUGGCGGGGUAAGGGCCCACCAAGGCGACGAUCCGUAGCUGGUCUGAGAGGAUGAUCAGCCACACUGGAACUGAGACACGGUCCAGACUCCUACGGGAGGCAGCAGUGGGGAAUAUUGGACAAUGGGCGCAAGCCUGAUCCAGCCAUGCCGCGUGGGUGAAGAAGGCCUUCGGGUUGUAAAGCCCUUUUGUUGGGAAAGAAAAGCAGCAGGUUAAUACCCCGCUGUUCUGACGGUACCCAAAGAAUAAGCACCGGCUAACUUCGUG